UGAAUAAAAGCUUUAUAGAAGCGUUUAACUGUUGAUUGAAAGAUGCAAAGUGAUUUGUUUAUUCAG
Molecule: transfer RNA, 66 nt
Filed under: Eptatretus atami
Lineage: Eukaryota; Metazoa; Chordata; Myxini; Myxiniformes; Myxinidae
Description: tRNA-Asn
Source: RNAcentral